GAUGAACGCUGGCGGCGUGCCUAAUACAUGCAAGUCGAGCGAACAGACGAGGAGCUUGCUCCUCUGACGUUAGCGGCGGACGGGUGAGUAACACGUGGAUAACCUACCUAUAAGACUGGGGUAACUUCGGGAAACCGGAGCUAAUACCGGAUAAUAUAUUGAACCGCAUGGUUCAAUAGUGCAAGACGGCUUUGCUGUCACUUAUAGAUGGAUUCGCGCCGCAUUAGCUAGUUGGUAAGGUAACGGCUUACCAAGGCAACGAUGCGUAGCCGAGCUGAGAGGAUGAUCGGCCACACUGGAACUGAGACACGGUCCAGACUCCUACGGGAGGCAGCAGUAGGGAAUCUUCCACAAAGGGCGAAAGCUUGACGGAGCAACGCCGCGUGAGUGAUGAAGGUCUUCGGAUCGCAAAACUCUGUUAUUAGGGAAGAACAAAUGUGUAAGUAUCUAUGCACGUCUUGACGGUACCUAAUCAGAAAGCCACGGCUAACUACGUG
RNAcentral lists this ribosomal RNA (497 nucleotides) under uncultured bacterium. RNAcentral's name for it is "partial 16S ribosomal RNA". It matches the Rfam family "Bacterial small subunit ribosomal RNA", at positions 28 to 507 of the family's 1533-position model. The record is from RNAcentral.